GGCUCACCUAGGCGACGAUCCCUAGCUGGUCUGAGAGGAUGACCAGCCACACUGGAACUGAGACACGGUCCAGACUCCUACGGGAGGCAGCAGUGGGGAAUAUUGCACAAUGGGCGCAAGCCUGAUGCAGCCAUGCCGCGUGUAUGAAGAAGGCCUUCGGGUUGUAAAGUACUUUCAGCGGGGAGGAAGGGAGUAAAGUUAAUACCUUUGCUCAUUGACGUUACCCGCAGAAGAAGCACCGGCUAACUCCGUGCCAGCAGCCGCGGUAAUACGGAGGGUGCAAGCGUUAAUCGGAAUUACUGGGCGUAAAGCGCACGCAGGCGGUUUGUUAAGUCAGAUGUGAAAUCCCCGGGCUCAACCUGGGAACUGCAUCUGAUACUGGCAAGCUUGAGUCUCGUAGAGGGGGGUAGAAUUCCAGGUGUAGCGGUGAAAUGCGUAGAGAUCUGGAGGAAUACCGGUGGCGAAGGCGGCCCCCUGGACGAAGACUGAC
Molecule: ribosomal RNA, 490 nt
Filed under: Escherichia coli
Lineage: Bacteria; Pseudomonadati; Pseudomonadota; Gammaproteobacteria; Enterobacterales; Enterobacteriaceae
Description: bacterial SSU rRNA
Rfam family: Bacterial small subunit ribosomal RNA
Source: RNAcentral